RNAcentral lists this ribosomal RNA (376 nucleotides) under uncultured Serratia sp. Its description in RNAcentral is "bacterial SSU rRNA". It matches the Rfam family "Bacterial small subunit ribosomal RNA", at positions 521 to 896 of the family's 1533-position model. Lineage: Bacteria; Pseudomonadati; Pseudomonadota; Gammaproteobacteria; Enterobacterales; Yersiniaceae. The record is from RNAcentral.
UAAUACGGAGGGUGCAAGCGUUAAUCGGAAUUACUGGGCGUAAAGCGCACGCAGGCGGUUUGUUAAGUCAGAUGUGAAAUCCCCGGGCUCAACCUGGGAACUGCAUUUGAAACUGGCAAGCUAGAGUCUCGUAGAGGGGGGUAGAAUUCCAGGUGUAGCGGUGAAAUGCGUAGAGAUCUGGAGGAAUACCGGUGGCGAAGGCGGCCCCCUGGACGAAGACUGACGCUCAGGUGUGAAAGCGUGGGGAGCAAACAGGAUUAGAUACCCUGGUAGUCCACGCUGUAAACGAUGUCGAUUUGGAGGUUGUGCCCUUGAGGCGUGGCUUCCGGAGCUAACGCGUUAAAUCGACCGCCUGGGGAGUACGGCCGCAAGGUUA